CGGCAGCCAUGUUAAGCGUGGCGUUUCGGGAAGGGCUGGGGCUGGGCUUGCUUUUACGUAACGGCGUCGCCGCGCCGGAAGUGCUGUGUUUGAUCCAAGAGUUUGUGGUUUUGUGUUUGGCUCCGCUGAUGCUCUUUGGCCUUGGAUAAGCCUUGGGACCUCGAGUUUGUCAUUUGCAAAGUGGCCCGGUUCCCAUAGAGACGUUGUUGGAAUUCACCCAGCUAAAAACAGAAAACUUUUUUUCUUUUUCUUUAGGUUGAGGGGUAGGGAGGGCAGUAAGAUGAUAAUGUUAAAUCAGCUCUUCUCUACAUUUGGAACUCUGUGCAGGAUAUCAUCAAUAAAGUGAAAAGACGACCCACAGAAUGGGAGAAAAUAUUUGCAAGUCAAUAUCUGAUAAGAAACUUGUGUCCAGAGUAUAUAAAGAACUCUUACAACUCAACAAUAAAAAGGCAAAUAAUCUGAUUAAAAAGUGAGCAAAAG
Molecule: long non-coding RNA, 480 nt
Filed under: Equus caballus (horse)
Lineage: Eukaryota; Metazoa; Chordata; Mammalia; Perissodactyla; Equidae
Description: lncRNA (ENSECAG00000050679.1)
Source: RNAcentral